This 254-nucleotide ribosomal RNA is filed under the name uncultured bacterium. Its description in RNAcentral is "partial 16S ribosomal RNA". It matches the Rfam family "Bacterial small subunit ribosomal RNA", at positions 524 to 776 of the family's 1533-position model. The record is from RNAcentral.
UACGUAGGGGGCAAGCGUUGUCCGGAAUCAUUGGGCGUAAAGAGCGUGUAGGCGGCCUGGUAAGUCCGCUGUGAAAGUCCAGGGCUCAACCCUGGAAUGCCGGUGGAAACUGUCAGGCUCGAGUCCGGAAGAGGCGAGUGGAAUUCCUGGUGUAGCGGUGAAAUGCGCAGAUAUCAGGAGGAACACCAAUGGCGAAGGCAGCUCGCUGGGACGGUACUGACGCUGAGACGGCGAAAGCGUGGGGAGCGAACAGG